Molecule: transfer RNA, 73 nt
Filed under: Actinomycetota bacterium
Lineage: Bacteria; Bacillati; Actinomycetota
Description: tRNA-Ala
Rfam family: tRNA
About the family: Transfer RNA (tRNA) molecules are approximately 80 nucleotides in length. Their secondary structure includes four short double-helical elements and three loops (D, anti-codon, and T loops). Further hydrogen bonds mediate the characteristic L-shaped molecular structure. tRNAs have two regions of fundamental functional importance: the anti-codon, which is responsible for specific mRNA codon recognition, and the 3' end, to which the tRNAs corresponding amino acid is attached (by aminoacyl-tRNA synthetases). tRNAs cope with the degeneracy of the genetic code in two manners: having more than one tRNA (with a specific anti-codon) for a particular amino acid; and 'wobble' base-pairing, i.e. permitting non-standard base-pairing at the 3rd anti-codon position.
Source: RNAcentral
GGGGCUGUAGCUCAGCUGGAAGAGCGGUCGGCUGGCAGCCGACAGGUCAGGGGUUCGAGUCCCCUCAGCUCCA